UACGGGGGGAGCAAGCGUUGUUCGGAUUUACUGGGCGUAAAGGGCGCGUAGGCGGUCGUGACAAGUCACUUGUGAAAUCUCCGGGCUUAACUCGGAACGGUCAAGUGAUACUGUCGGACUAGAGUGCAGAAGGGGCAAUCGGAAUUCUUGGUGUAGCGGUGAAAUGCGUAGAUAUCAAGAGGAACACCUGAGGUGAAGACGGGUUGCUGGGCUGACACUGACGCUGAGGCGCGAAAGCCAGGGGAGCAAACGGG
Molecule: ribosomal RNA, 254 nt
Filed under: uncultured bacterium
Lineage: Bacteria
Description: partial 16S ribosomal RNA
Rfam family: Bacterial small subunit ribosomal RNA
Source: RNAcentral